AAGGGCGAUUUGGGGCUUGACGUCGGCACUGUAACAUGGCUUUUGUCAUUCAUAACAAUGUUGCAGUGACGACUUCGCGCUCCCGAUGGCCAAU
RNAcentral lists this microRNA precursor (94 nucleotides) under Strongylocentrotus purpuratus (purple sea urchin). RNAcentral's name for it is "microRNA spu-mir-4854 precursor". It matches the Rfam family "mir-4854 microRNA precursor family". Lineage: Eukaryota; Metazoa; Echinodermata; Echinoidea; Camarodonta; Strongylocentrotidae. The record is from miRBase by way of RNAcentral.